RNAcentral lists this ribosomal RNA (296 nucleotides) under uncultured bacterium. RNAcentral's name for it is "partial 16S ribosomal RNA". It matches the Rfam family "Bacterial small subunit ribosomal RNA", at positions 775 to 1070 of the family's 1533-position model. The record is from RNAcentral.
GGAUUAGAAACCCUGGUAGUCCACGCCGUAAACGAUGGAUGCUAGCUGUUAUGAGUAUCGACCCUCGUAGUAGCGAAGCUAACGCGUUAAGCAUCCCGCCUGUGGAGUACGAGCGCAAGCUUAAAACAUAAAGGAAUUGACGGGGACCCGCACAAGCGGUGGAGCGUGUUCUUUAAUUCGAUGGUAAGCGAAGAACCUUACCAGGGUUUGACAUCCUACUAAUUUCUCCGAAAGGAGAGAGUGUCUUCGGACCGUAGUGACAGGUGUUGCAUGGCCGUCGUCAGCUCGUGUCGUGG